UACGGAGGGUGCGAGCGUUAUUCGGAAUUACUGGGCGUAAAGCGCGUGUAGGCGGCCCCGCAAGUCUGAUGUGAAAGCCCCGGGCUUAACCCGGGAAGUGCAUUGGAAACUGCGGGACUUGAGUACUGGAGAGGAUGGGGGAAUUCCCGGUGUAGAGGUGAAAUUCGUAGAGAUCGGGAGGAAUAUCAGUGGCGAAGGCGCCCAUCUGGACGGUUACUGACGCUGAGGUGCGAAAGCGUGGGGAGCAAACAGG
Molecule: ribosomal RNA, 253 nt
Filed under: uncultured bacterium
Lineage: Bacteria
Description: partial 16S ribosomal RNA
Rfam family: Bacterial small subunit ribosomal RNA
Source: RNAcentral